Molecule: long non-coding RNA, 1255 nt
Organism: Ictalurus punctatus (channel catfish)
Lineage: Eukaryota; Metazoa; Chordata; Actinopteri; Siluriformes; Ictaluridae
Source: Ensembl
GUGGUUGGGCAGGUUGUGCACUAAGUAUAGGGUCGGCGGUUCGAUUCCCGGCCCACGUGACUCCACAUACCAAAGUGUCGUUGGGCAAGACACUGAACCCCAAGUUGCUCCCCAUGGCAAGUUAGCACCUUGCAUGGCAGCUCUGCUACCAUUCACAAUUACAAUCGGCUUGUAGCUACGUGUGUCGCGAAAGUAUAUAACAAACAUGAUCAUAAACACAAAUUUAUCCCACUGCACAUGCAAAUUAGCGCUUGUUAUUUUGUAUUUUAAUGACUCGGGGUGUACAUUUUGCAUCGGUUUGUUUGGGAUGUGCGACGGUUGGUCACUUGUACAAAACCUUUCUUUAUGCAUCACUUACGAACACUUCACCGUGAGCGGAAAAUCAAAUGGGAUCUUUGUGUGCGGCGUCUUUAUUCGUUUUCCCACAUCUACUCUUUCAUCGCAGUCUCACUCUCCUGCUGCUUUUUGUCGUAUUAAAAUGUUCAGUCUCAGACAGAUGUGUGUGUGUGUGUGUGUGUGUGUGUGUGUGUGCGUAUGCAUUCACCGUUCAGCGUUCAGCAUGAUCAGUUUGAAGAUGACUUCUACUAAAGCGAAAGCGCUCUGCUGCCCUGAGGUUAAAAUCCCCAAGCAAAGGAGGCAAAGAGACAGUGACGGAGUGACAGCGAGACGACAACAGUGAACGAGGGCAGACAGACAGACGGGUGAAAAACGCAACACCGAUGCGAUGUAGACCAUCAGAUGUACACAGAUGCCAGAAAACGUAUCAUAACAUCACAUCACAUAAGAUUAACACAAGUGCUUUCACUUUGAAGGUACAAAAGUGGCAAGUGUUUAUACUCUGCUCAAUUCUGAUUGGUCAGAAGGUGCUGAUUCAUUUUCUAUAGCAGCAGCGCUGAGGGUAGUGCAUCAUCAUGCCACCAUUUCAUCGAAUAUAUUCCUAUAACAGCAUGACGCCCAAUGAUUUAGUCCUGCAUUAAUUUAGUCCUGGGUUACUGAAUGGAAGGUCGGGGGUUCAAGCCCCAGCACUGCCAGGCUCCGGGUUACUGAUUGGAAGGUCGGGGGUUCAAGCCCCAGCACUGGCAGGCUCUGGGUUACUGAUCGGAAGGUCGGGGGUUCAUGCCCCAGCACUGCCAGGCUCUGGGUUACUGAUCGGAAGGUCGGGGGUUCAUGCCCCAGCACUGCCAGGCUCCGGGUUACUGAUUGGAAGGUCGGGGGUUCAUGCCCCAGCACUGGCAGGCUCUGGGUUACUGAUCGG